UUAUCCUCAAAUGGGAAGAAAUGACGCGAAUGUUUUGGUACGUGUAUACGUAAAAUAGAAUACAGUAUAAAUACUUGGCUAACAUCUAAAUGUAUUUCAAUUAUACUUGUAACUUUAUUUUUUUAAUUAUUAUACUUAACUCUACCCUGCGCAACUUCAUUUCUUGUCCUGCUGCAAAUCUAGAUCCAAGAAAAUGCAGGAAACCCACCUCCCAAAUUAUAAUCCUUUAAGGUUUACUAGAUAGACUUAAUUGAAGUGUUUUCUGGCUUGCUGUAUCAUCUUUUAGCAGUCAGAGAAAAAUAUCUUGUCUAAAAAGUCAUUAAUAAGAACAGCUGAAUGUGGUGGUUUUUGAAACCGUUUUCUUGCUUUUGAUUGAUGUAUACUGGUGCAAAAAUCUUAAUCGGAUGAUCAAAAAACCCCUGUGUGAGGUUUUUGGAGAGAAAUCAAGUGCAUGAUGUGAUUUAGAACGAAUAUCUUGUGAUCUGUAACUAUCAACUAUAAAGCCAUGUCGAUAUUUGUAGCUAGAAAAUAGAACCCCGGACUGGGUGGGAUAAUUCUAUCUUGUGGUGAGAAAACGUGAGGAACUGCUGAAUGUUGCUAUUAGUUUAUUAAUACUUUUUUUUUUUUGAUAUUUUACGACUCUGUUACAUGUGGUCUGAUGAACUGGAAUUCUCCCUGUUUAAGAUCACAACUGUCUUUUGCUUCCAUAUGCAUACAAUGGAUUAUUUUCUCACAUUCUGUGAUUUGAUAUUUUGCUGGUUCAUGAAGUUGCAUUACUAUUUUUUCUUCUGCAUCCCCACCCCGCCAUUGUGAUCAAAGCAGCCAAAAUUAGUUUCCUAAAUUUUUUAUCCUUGCAAUGCAUUCUUGCUAAUGUCUUGUGUGUGUUGUGUUACUGUCGAAGUGAAAGAAAUGACUAAAAAUGUAAAAUAAUGAGAAGUACUUGGUCCAGAAGAAAUUAUACAUCUAAUGGUUAGCAACGAGAAGAAAACCAAAUCAAGUCCAGAAGCUAUAUAGUUUAAAGAGUUCCUUCACAUGUACGUAUUGUUCUAUAUUUGAAAUACAUAACAAACAGAAUUUGAAAGCACUGGAGAAGAAAGUAGUCUUACAAGUUAUUUGUUACUCUAUUGUUUUGAUAUAAGCUUUUUCCCGCUUUCUUUUGCAGUAUUAUUUGUCCCUUCAGUUGAAAAAGGACAAACUAGGCUUUCAAUGUAGAUUUCCAAAUCAUGAUUGCUUUCACGGUUAGUAACAUUUGUAUAUCUGAGUGAGUCAUCUUUUGAAUUGUAUAUCAGGAAAGGUUACCAAGAACAACAUUUCACCUUUAUUUGACACAAAAAGAG
RNAcentral lists this long non-coding RNA (1337 nucleotides) under Capsicum annuum. RNAcentral describes it as "long non-coding RNA (CANN_LNC000015)". The record is from RNAcentral. Lineage: Eukaryota; Viridiplantae; Streptophyta; Magnoliopsida; Solanales; Solanaceae.